CCACCUCGAUUUGCUGGGGACAGAUGAAGUGAAUGUGGGUGUCAAUACCGCCUGCAGUCAGGAUCAUGCCUUCCCCGGCGAUCGCCUCCGUCCCUGGCCCAAUGAUGAUAUUGAUGUUGUCCUGAAUGUAGGGGUUGCCUGCCUUGCCAAUUCUGGCGAUGCGACCAUCCUUAAUCCCGACAUCGGCUUUGACAAUUCCCCACCAAUCCAGGAUCAGGGCAUUGGUGAUCACGACAUCUACCGCACCAUUGGCAUUGGGAAUGGGAGAUUGCCCCAUGCCGUCUCG
This 286-nucleotide small RNA is filed under the name Leptolyngbya sp. 'hensonii'. RNAcentral's name for it is "5' ureB small RNA". It matches the Rfam family "5' ureB small RNA". The record is from Rfam by way of RNAcentral. Lineage: Bacteria; Bacillati; Cyanobacteriota; Cyanophyceae; Leptolyngbyales; Leptolyngbyaceae.